Molecule: ribosomal RNA, 338 nt
Filed under: uncultured Glomus
Lineage: Eukaryota; Fungi; Glomeromycota; Glomeromycetes; Glomerales; Glomeraceae
Description: SSU rRNA
Rfam family: Eukaryotic small subunit ribosomal RNA
Source: RNAcentral
AGCAGCCGCGGUAAUUCCAGCUCCAAUAGCGUAUAUUAAAGUUGUUGCAGUUAAAAAGCUCGUAGUUGAAUUUCGGGAUCAAUUUAUCGGUCGUGCCAAUGGUAUGAACUGGUACAAUUGGUUUCUCCCUUCUGACGAAGCAUGAUGUCAUUAAUUUGGUGUCGUGGGGAAUCAGGACUGUUACUUUGAAAAAUUAGAGUGUUUAAAGCAAGCAUUAGCUUGAAUACAUUAGCAUGGAAUAAUGAAAUAGGACGUUUGAUCCUAUUUCGUUGGUUUCUAGGAUCGACGUAAUGAUUAAUAGGGAUAGUUGGGGCAUUAGUAUUCAAUUGUCAGAGGUG